UGUAAGCGUAUACCAAAGUUGUUGCAGUUAAAACGCUCGUAGUCGGAAUUUGGCAGUUCCGGAUGUGUGCACGUCGUGUGCGCACUUCGCGGGGAUAGCUUUUGUGGUCUUGCGUAGGAUGAGGCACUUUUAUUAGUGAACGUCCUCACGCAACCACUUUUUACUGUGAGAAAAUCAGAGUGCUCAAAGCAGGCAUUUGCCGUGAAUGUAUUAGCAUGGAAUAAUAGAAUAGGACUUGGUUCUAUUUUGUUGGUUUGUUGGGACUGAGUAAUGAUUAAGAGGGACAGUUGGGGGCAUUUGUAUUUCGGUGCUAGAGGUGAAAUUCUUAGAUUACCGAAAGACAAACUGCUGCGAAAGCGUCUGCCAAGGAUGUUUUCAUUGA
RNAcentral lists this ribosomal RNA (382 nucleotides) under uncultured eukaryote. RNAcentral describes it as "partial 18S ribosomal RNA". It matches the Rfam family "Eukaryotic small subunit ribosomal RNA", at positions 592 to 976 of the family's 1831-position model. The record is from RNAcentral.